CACAGAGUUAGCCGGUGCUUAUUCUGUCGGUAACGUCAAAACAAUCACGUAUUAGGUAACUGCCCUUCCUCCCAACUUAAAGUGCUUUACAACCCGGAGACCUUCUUCACACACGCGGCAUGGCUGGAUCAGGCUUUCGCCCAUUGUCCAAUAUUCCCCA
Molecule: ribosomal RNA, 160 nt
Filed under: uncultured bacterium
Lineage: Bacteria
Description: partial 16S ribosomal RNA
Source: RNAcentral